This 334-nucleotide unclassified non-coding RNA is filed under the name soil metagenome. Its description in RNAcentral is "partial contains 5.8S ribosomal RNA, internal transcribed spacer 2, and large subunit ribosomal RNA". The stretch from base 1 to 120 matches the Rfam family "5.8S ribosomal RNA", at positions 35 to 154 of the family's 154-position model. The record is from RNAcentral.
GAUGAAGAACGCAGCGAAAUGCGAUAAGUAGUGUGAAUUGCAGAAUUCAGUGAAUCAUCGAAUCUUUGAACGCACAUUGCGCCCCUUGGUAUUCCAUGGGGCAUGCCUGUUCGAGCGUCAUUUGUACCUUCAAGCUCUGCUUGGUGUUGGGUGAUUGUCUAUCUUUGUAGACUCGCCUUAAAGUCAUUGGCAGCCGGCAUAUUGGCCUGGGAGCGCAGCACAAGUCGCGCUUCUUGCCAUGAAUGUUGGCGUCCAGUAAGUCUACAUAUUUUGCUCUUGACCUCGGAUCAGGUAGGGAUACCCGCUGAACUUAAGCAUAUCAAUAAGCGGAGGA